RNAcentral lists this ribosomal RNA (1039 nucleotides) under uncultured Flavobacteriales bacterium. RNAcentral's name for it is "bacterial SSU rRNA". It matches the Rfam family "Bacterial small subunit ribosomal RNA", at positions 466 to 1503 of the family's 1533-position model. Lineage: Bacteria; Pseudomonadati; Bacteroidota; Flavobacteriia; Flavobacteriales. The record is from RNAcentral.
CGUGACGUAUUACUAUAAGAAUAAGGAUCCGGCUACACUCCAGUGCCAGCAGCCGGCGGUAAUACGGAAGGGUCCAAGCGGUUAUCCCGUGAUUUAUUGGGUUUAAAGGGUACGUAGGCGGAGCUUUAAGUCAGUAAGUGAAAAGCCCAUUGCUUAACAAUGGAACUGCUAUUGAUAUCUGGAGUUCUUGAAUUAUAGUUGAAGUAGGCGGAAUACGGACAUGUAGCGGGUGAAAUGCAUAGAUAUGCCGUUGGAACACCAAUCGCGAAGGGCAGCUUACUAAGCUAUAAUUGACGCUAAUGUACGAAAAGCGUGGGGAGCGAACAGGAUUAGAUACCCUGGUAGUCCACGCCGUAAACGAUGAUUACUCGGUGCUGGCGAUAUACAGUCAGUGCUAAGCGAAAGCGAUAAGUAAUCCACCUGGGGAGUACGAUCGCAAGGUUGAAACUCAAAGGAAUUGACGGGGGCCCGCACAAGCGGUGGAGCAUGUGGUUUAAUUCGAUGAUACGCGAGGAACCUUACCUGGGCUUAAAUGCAUAAUGACAGGCUGAGAAAUCAGUCCUUCUUCGGACAGAAUGCAAGGUGCUGCAUGGCUGUCGUCAGCUCGUGCUGUGAGGUGUCGGGUUAAGUCCCAUAACGAGCGCAACCCCUAUUACUAAUUGCCAGCACAUAAUGGUGGGGACUCUAGUAAAACUGCCCGUGCAAACGGUGAGGAAGGUGGGGACGACGUCAAGUCAUCACGGCCCUUACGUCCAGGGCUACACACGUGCUACAAUGGUAGAGACAGAGGGCAGCCACUUGGUGACAAGGAGCUAAUCCUAAAACUCUAUCUCAGUUCGGAUUGAAGUCUGCAACUCGACUUCUGAAGCUGGAAUCGCUAGUAAUCGGAUAUCAGCCACGAUCCGGUGAAUACGUUCCACGGGCCUUGUACACACCGCCCGUCAAGCCAUGGAAGCUGAGGGUGCCUGAAGUCGGUAACCGCAAGGAGCCGCCUAGGGUAAAAUCGGUAACUGGGGCUAAGUCGUAACAAGGUAGCCGU